GUCUUCUUUAGCUCAGUCGGUUAGCGCGCUGCCUCGUACAAGAGGUUCCGGGUUCGAGUCCCGUGGAAGACA
RNAcentral lists this transfer RNA (72 nucleotides) under Mytilus galloprovincialis (Mediterranean mussel). Lineage: Eukaryota; Metazoa; Mollusca; Bivalvia; Mytilida; Mytilidae. The record is from RNAcentral.